RNAcentral lists this ribosomal RNA (253 nucleotides) under uncultured bacterium. RNAcentral describes it as "partial 16S ribosomal RNA". It matches the Rfam family "Bacterial small subunit ribosomal RNA", at positions 524 to 776 of the family's 1533-position model. The record is from RNAcentral.
GACGGGGGAUGCAAGUGUUAUCCGGAAUCACUGGGCGUAAAGCGUUUGUAGGUGGUUUAGUAAGUCUAUUAUUAAAGCUUGAAGCUCAACUUCAAAAAUGUAAUAGAAACUACUAGACUUGAGGAUAGUAGGGGUAAAGGGAAUUUCCAGUGGAGCGGUGAAAUGCGUAGAGAUUGGAAGGACCACCGAUGGCGAAGGCACUUUACUGGGCUAUUUCUGACACUAAGAGACGAAAGCUAGGGUAGCGAAUGGG